RNAcentral lists this long non-coding RNA (906 nucleotides) under Sus scrofa (pig). RNAcentral's name for it is "lncRNA (ENSSSCG00055030100.1)". Lineage: Eukaryota; Metazoa; Chordata; Mammalia; Artiodactyla; Suidae. The record is from RNAcentral.
AACAAGCCAGAAUAUAAAUAUACCUUUGUUUAAGACUCUCUGUUUGCAUGUAACGGAAACCAACCUGAAACGGCUUAACCAAAAGGGAAGAAUUUAUCAUAAGGAUGUAGGAACUUCUUACAAAUGCCCAGAGCAGGAAGACAGCUACCUCCUAGCAAAAGACUAGAACCAGGAGUUGGAAAACUUCCAGGAACCCAAAAGUCCCGUCAGCCCCGAGGGUGGGCCCGACCACACUGCGUCUUCUCUCUGCCUCCUCCCCUCCCAGCCCACGUCCCCACUAGGCAGAGCUCCUCAAGGGCACAGAUGGUGGUGUUCCUCUCUUACUCAUCUCUCCAUCUCCAGAGACAACACACAGCCAAGGUAAAAAAGAAAGGGAGGGAGGGAAAGAGAACAGAAUUCAAUUCUCUGGGACUUAAACACAUAUUCGCACAUCACGCCAUUAUUGUGAAGAUAUCACCCUCCGUUUAAAGCUUAGCUAAAAGCACCUUUCAUCGUGCAGUUUCAAGGCAGGUUGCACAGUACACUAAGUACCCCGGAAGGCAGGGGCCCACGUCAGAGCGAAGCCCCACACAUUGCUUUGUCUGUCCCGGACCAGCGUACUCGUUGGUAAGGGGAUUCUCUUCCCCAUGACCCACCUCCGACAGUGUAGUUUAUGCAGUUCCAGGCACAGAUCUUACCCCUCGCCUUGAAGCUGGGCAUGUGAAGUCACUCUUCACUUGCUCCUGGCCACAUGACCUCAGCCUGGCCAAUCAGAAGCCUUCCCUGAGAUUUUCUCCCCAGAAUUAGUGAAGAUGACUCCCUCUGCCUCCCGGGUCAGGCUGCUGUGUAUGAUCCCAGAAAUGUGUUCCCUUCGUCUGGAGAGAGCCCAUUCCAGCAGAAGCAAAUAAAGCCAAGAAAACAAAAGCA